This 253-nucleotide ribosomal RNA is filed under the name uncultured bacterium. RNAcentral describes it as "partial 16S ribosomal RNA". It matches the Rfam family "Bacterial small subunit ribosomal RNA", at positions 524 to 776 of the family's 1533-position model. The record is from RNAcentral.
UACGUAGGGGGCAAGCGUUGUCCGGAAUCAUUGGGCGUAAAGCGCGCGUAGGUGGCCAUUUAAGUCCGCUGUGAAAGUCAAAGGCUCAACCUUUGAAAGCCGGUGGAUACUGGAUGGCUAGAGUACGGAAGAGGCGAGUGGAAUUCCUGGUGUAGCGGUGGAAUGCGCAGAUAUCAGGAGGAACACCAAUAGCGAAGGCAGCUCGCUGGGACGUUACUGACACUGAGGCGCGAAAGCGUGGGGAGCGAACAGG